CCUACGGGAGGCAGCAGUGAGGAAUAUUGGUCAAUGGGCGGAAGCCUGAACCAGCCAAGUAGCGUGCAGGAUGACGGCCCUACGGGCUGUAAACUGCUUUUAUACGGGAAUAACGCGCCUUUAGUGUAGGGCUUUGCACGUACCGUAUGAAUAAGGACCGGCUAAUUUCGCUCCAGCAGCCGCGGCAAUACGGAAGGUCCGUGCGUUACCCGGAUUUAUUGUGUUUAACGGGAGCGUAGGCCGCAUGUCAAGCGUGCUGUGAAAUGUCCGGGCUCAACCCGGGCCGUGCAGCGCGAACUGGCGUGCUUGAGUGCGCGGAAGGCAGGCGGAAUUCGUCGUGUAGCGGUGAAAUGCUUAGAUAUGACGAAGAACCCCGAUUGCGAAGGCAGCUUGCUGCAGCGGAACUGACGCUAAUGCUCGAAAGCGCGGGUAUCGAACAGGAUUAGAUACCCUAGUAGUC
RNAcentral lists this ribosomal RNA (460 nucleotides) under uncultured bacterium. RNAcentral describes it as "partial 16S ribosomal RNA". It matches the Rfam family "Bacterial small subunit ribosomal RNA", at positions 338 to 795 of the family's 1533-position model. The record is from RNAcentral.